Molecule: ribosomal RNA, 2007 nt
Filed under: Triticum aestivum (bread wheat)
Lineage: Eukaryota; Viridiplantae; Streptophyta; Magnoliopsida; Poales; Poaceae
Description: partial small subunit ribosomal RNA
Source: RNAcentral
AUGGCGUCCGAACCCCAAUCGUCCUCGGACGGCGACCACCCAGACCUGAAGGAAGUCGAUGGUGCGGUGGACUUGGAGAUGGAGGAUCCCACCGGCGGAAGCAGCGGCGCCGGCAGGCUGCUGUACAAGCUUCCGGCGAGGAUAUCAGGGAUGCUUUAUCCCCACCAGCGCCAGGGGCUUGGCUGGCUUUGGUUUUUGCAUUGCAGGGUGACUGGUGGCGUCGUCGGCGAUGACAUGGGACUGGGGAAGACCAUGCAGAUUUCUGCAUUCCUAGCCGGAUUGUUCCAUUCAGGUUUAAUCAGGAGAGUGUUGGUUGUCGUUCCAAAGACACCUGUGACUCAUUGGAUCAAAGAACUUACACUUGUUGGCCUCAAAAGCAAGAUCAGCGACUGCUCUGGUCCCAACGCAAAUGUUCGCAACUCUGAGCUCCAACGCGCAGUUAAGGAGGGCGGUGUAGUAUUGACAACAUAUGACAUUGUCCGGAUAAAUUACAAGCUGAUAAGGGGUGACUUCUACCAUGAAGCCGAUGAUGAUGAGGAGAGAAACCUAUGGGACUAUGUUGUUCUUGAUGAGGCACAUCAAAUCAAAAACCCUAAGACACAAAGAUUCCAAAGCAUAUGUGACAUACCAUGUGUCCAUCGGAUUGCCAUUAGUGGCACACCUAUACAAAAUAACUUGAAGGUACUACCUGAAAAGCUCCUACAGUCCUACUCUAAUUUAAUACCACUAUAUGAUCAAUAUGUCCCCAUUGCGAUAUUGUUUUACCAAUGCAAGUUUAGAGAAAGGUAUGAAAAUGCUAUCAAUCGAGGAAAUGAAAAGGAUGCCACCAAUCGAGAGAAGCACAUUGGCUCAGAGGUAGCUAAGAGGCAACUAUAUGAAGCUUUUCUGAAGAGUGAUAUACUUAAUACAAUGCGACCUCCCUUGCCUCACAUCACGAUAUUGAAGAAAAUAUGUGAUCACCCACUGAUGCUGACAAAGAUAGCCGCUGAGGGCAUCUUGGAAGGCAUGGAAGACAUGGACGGAAAGUUGAAUGAUCAUGAUAUGGUGAGGCUUGAAAAAAUGGCUCUGAACCUUGCUGGUAUUAAAUGUGGCUACUGCCUGAUGUUGCAGCGAAAUCUUCUUGAAGAGGGACACCAUGUUCUAAUUUUUUCGCAGACUCGCAAGAUGCUAAACCUUGUUCAGCAAGUUAUAUCAGUAGAGGGCUACAAGUUUUUUCGCAUCGAUGGUACAACCAAGAUUUCAGAGAGGGAAAGGAUUGUGAAGGAUUUCCAGGAGGGUUCUGGAACUCCAAUAUUUUUACUGACUACCAAAGUCGGUGGUCUUGGACUUACACUCACCAAGGCAGAUCGCGUCAUAGUAGUCGACCCUGCUUGGAAUCCAAGGAUGCAAGUUCUCUUAGUUCUAACACAAUCUUCGUAUUCACAGUGUCGACAGUCAGGCUGUCGAUCGUGCUUAUCGAAUUGGACAGACAAAAGAUGUGAUUGUAUACCGCUUGAUGCUGCAACUGUUGAAGAAAAGAUAUAUAGAAUGCAGGUCUUCAAGUGGGGUUUGUUUAGGACAGCCACUGAGCAGAAAGAACAAACACGCUACUUCAACCAGAGGGACAUUCAGGAGCUUCUUAGCCUACCGGCACAAGGUUUUGACAUCUCCCCUACGCAAAAGCAAUUGCAAAAAGAGCAUGAACAGCAGCUUGACAUGGAUGAGUCACUGAGGCAGCACAUAGAGUUUCUAGAGCAGCAAGGAAUAGCCGGUGUGAGCCACCACAGCCUCCUGUAUUCCAAGACAGAGGUCUUGCCAGCUUUGAGCGAAAAUGAUCAUGCACCGGACAGGGAUGCGCAUGCCGUUAAGCCAAAUUCAGAUGUCCGUGCCGAAGAUAUCAACCGGCUGACGCAAACCCUUGCGAACACGGCACUGGCGUCCGUGCUGCCGGACCGUGACGGUGAGGAAAAGACACAAGGUGGUUUGGAUGAUGACAAGCUGACGGUGGUCGCUGCUGAGUCGACAUGA